GACGAACGCUGGCGGCGUGCUUAACACAUGCAAGUCGAACGGAAAGGCCCUGCUUUUGUGGGGUGCUCGAGUGGCGAACGGGUGAGUAACACGUGAGUAACCUGCCCUUGACUUUGGGAUAACUUCAGGAAACUGGGGCUAAUACCGGAUAGGAGCUCCUGCUGCAUGGUGGGGGUUGGAAAGUUUCGGCGGUUGGGGAUGGACUCGCGGCUUAUCAGCUUGUUGGUGGGGUAGGGGCUUACCAAGGGUUUGACGGGUAGCCGGCCUGAGAGGGUGAACGGCCACCUUGGGACUGCGAUACGGCCCAGACUCCUACGGGAGGCAGCAGUGGGGAAUAUUGCACAAUGGGCGGAAGUCUGAUGCAGCAACGCCGCGUGCGGGAUGACGGCCUUCGGGUUGUAAACCGCUUUCGCCUGUGACGAAGCGUGAGUGACGGUAAUGGGUAAAGAAGCACCGGCUAACUACGUG
Molecule: ribosomal RNA, 468 nt
Filed under: uncultured bacterium
Lineage: Bacteria
Description: partial 16S ribosomal RNA
Rfam family: Bacterial small subunit ribosomal RNA
Source: RNAcentral